GAGCUGGCCACGCACCUGACGGAAAAGUUUCCUGAAGCUGUUCUGUUCAGUGACUUUAUUUCAGACGAACCAGCUAACGACCUAUAGAUACGUCACUAGAUACACACCAACUAGAACCUCCCUCUCACAACUCGCGCGCGUGUGCGUGCGUGUGUCUGUGUCAGCUGACUGGGUUGGUGUCAUGUGAUUUCUGUCCUGAAUCAGAGCAGAGCAGAGCGGCUGGCUGGCUGAAACAAUGGCUCGGUUCGGAGCUCUCCUCUGUUUUCUCUCUGUUCUCUUCUCCCAAGGGCUUCCCUCUCCGCUGGCGGGUAAAGAAGUAUGGGACUACGUGGAAGUGAGACCCGGGGCCCACAUGUUCUGGUGGCUGUAUUAUGCUGACACUCCGUCUGCUAAGUAUCAGGACCUGCCGCUGGUCAUGUGGCUGCAGGGAGGACCAGGAGGAUCAGGGAGUGGCUUUGGUAACUUUGAAGAAAUUGGACCACUGAACAGAGACCUGGAGCCCAGGAAGACGAGCUGGGUGCAGGCAGCCAGUGUGCUGUUUGUGGAUAACCCAGUGGGCACCGGCUUUAGCUACGCUGAACAGCCUGACGGCUUUGCCACCAACGUUUCCACUGUGGCCUCAGACAUGCUGGUGCUGCUCAAACAUUUCUUCACACAGAUGCCAGAGUUCCAGACCAUGCCCUUCUACAUCUUCUCUGAGUCCUAUGGGGGAAAGAUGGCUGCUGCCAUCUCACUGGAACUCAGCAAGGCUGUAGCUCAAGGCUCAGUGAAAUGCAACUUUGCAGGUGUGGCACUUGGAGACUCGUGGAUUUCCCCGUUGGACUCUGUGAUGACAUGGGGUCCAUACCUUUAUACCACUUCCCUGCUGGACAACAACGGCCUGGCUGAUGUCAACAGUGCAGCGGAGAAGGUGAAGCAAGCUGUGGAGCAGCAGCAGUUUCUGAAAGCCACUGAGCUGUGGUCGGUCACUGAGACAGUGGUGGAGCAGAACACCAAUGGGGUGAACUUCUACAACAUUCUAACCCAGCAACCAGAUGAGAAAGUCACUACUGCUGCAGGAGAAAACUUCAUCUCUCUGCAAGCCCACCGCCACAUUCGCCCUCUGCACAAGCAGUCACUGAACGAACUGAUGAACGGACCAAUAAGGAAGAAACUGGCCAUCAUCCCUCAGAAUGUCACUUGGGGAGGUCAAGCAGAAGACGUGUUCAGCAACAUGGCCGGUGAUUUUAUGAGGCCAGUGGUGGAUAUAGUGGACCAGUUGCUGACAGCUGGAGUCAAUGUGACGGUUUACAAUGGCCAGCUGGAUCUUAUAGUGGACACUAUGGGUCAAGAGCUUUGGGUGAAGCAGCUAAAGUGGGAGGGACUUCCUGGUUUCAGCCAGCUGAGGUGGACCCCCCUGGAAGACCCAGCCUCCCCAGGAACCACUGGAGCCUUUGUCAAGAAUUACAAAAACUUUGCAUUCUACUGGAUCCUCAAAGCUGGUCACAUGAUUCCUUCAGACCAGGGAGCCAUGGCCUUGCAGAUGCUGAAGAUGAUCACGCAGCAGGACUGAAUGUUGUGCCAGCUGGGACGGCUCUGACAAUCACAGAAAUUCUUCUUCUUUUUUUUUUUACUUGCUUUCCAAAAUUGACUUUGAUAUCAGGUGAUGAAUGACCAUAAAACAGAACCUUUGGUACCAUCUGCAUGGGAUCUGUGGGUUGUGCCUCUAUAAUCUACACCAUCAUUAUGCCCUCACCAUCCACAGUGACUCUCUCUGAAGAAUUUGAAUUAAUGAGUUAAAACAACAUUUAAUUUCCCAUUGGGAUCAAUAAAGCAUUUUGAGUUGAAUGUGAAUAAAGGUGUUGUUGAAAAGGUUUCCACUUGGAAAGUGGAAGAAAUGAAAAUUGGAGCAAAAACGUUUUAGUCCUGUUAUGGAUGAUAUCCUCCACAGUAAUGUCCUGAUCACACUGUAAGCUCAGAUGAUAUUUUGAGAAGUAUGGUUCGAAUCCCCACCGAAGCCUUUCUGCAAGAGGUUUCCUCCCACAUGCCAGAAUUAAGCGAAUAAGGAUAAUUGGUCCUUAUAAAUUGCCCUAAGUGUGUGUGUGUGUGUGUGUGUGUUUAUAUGGCCUUGUGUCCAGGAAGUAUCCCACCUCCUUCAUGACAGCUGGAGAAAUGC
Gambusia affinis (western mosquitofish) is the source of this 2155-nucleotide RNA transcript. It is a transcript of the gene named serine carboxypeptidase 1, with no coding region annotated. The transcript is spliced from 14 exons. The record is from RefSeq and is a predicted model, not a curated record. Lineage: Eukaryota; Metazoa; Chordata; Actinopteri; Cyprinodontiformes; Poeciliidae.